Pelobates cultripes (western spadefoot toad) is the source of this 247-nucleotide non-coding RNA. NCBI's taxonomy places the organism in Eukaryota, Metazoa, Chordata, Amphibia, Anura, Pelobatidae. The record is from the annotation of a GenBank genome assembly.
GUGUGUGAGUGUUAGUGUGAGUGUUAGUGUGUGUGAGUGUUAGAGUGAGUGAGUGUUAGUGUGAGUGUUAGAGUGAGUGUUAGUGUGUGUCUGCUAGUGAGUGUCAGUGAGUGUGUUACUGUGUGUGUCUUACUGAGUGUGUGUGUGUUAGUGAGUCUGUUUGAUGUCUGUUAGUGAGUGUGUGUUUGUCAAUGAAAGUGUAUGUUUUGUAAGUGAGUGUGUAUGUAUGUCUGUCGCUGACUGUAUC